UACAGAGGUCUCAAGCGUUGUUCGGAUUCAUUGGGCGUAAAGGGUGCGUAGGUGGUGAUGCAAGUCUGGUGUGAAAUCUCGGAGCUCAACUCCGAAAUUGCACCGGAUACUGCGUGACUCGAGGACUGUAGAGGAGAUCGGAAUUCACGGUGUAGCAGUGAAAUGCGUAGAUAUCGUGAGGAAGACCAGUGGCGAAGGCGGAUCUCUGGACAGUUCCUGACGCUGAGGCACGAAGGCCAGGGGAGCAAACGGG
This 253-nucleotide ribosomal RNA is filed under the name uncultured bacterium. RNAcentral describes it as "partial 16S ribosomal RNA". It matches the Rfam family "Bacterial small subunit ribosomal RNA", at positions 524 to 776 of the family's 1533-position model. The record is from RNAcentral.